UUUUGUGGUUCACAGAGUUCAUAGCUGGACGAUACUGUUGAUGGCUUUUCUCCCCAGUAGUCUGCCAAGCAUCUUCUUACACUAUGAAAGCUAGCCAGAAUGGAAGAAUUUACCAGAUGUGUACACCACAAGAGGAAAUUUAUGAUUAUAGAUGUGUACACCACAAGAAGCAGAGUGUGAUGGAGAACUCCUGCAAUCAUGUCAUUUGAAGCAGAAGCAGAGAUGCAGAGACUUCCAGACUAUCAUGAGCUACAUGGUGGAGAAAUGAAGUUGAACAGUUAUUGUAUGCGGUGAAAGACAUGUUCCCAGUAAAUAAAACUGCAGUAGAAGAGGAGCGGUACAGCAAAUGCAUUAUUUACUUCAUGGAGUUUUCAAAAAUAGCACAUAAAACUUGCCUAGUCAGAAAUAUGUGUAUAAAAAUAGAAUAAAAUAUAAUCCCCUACUUCUACUAUGGUGGUUAUGUUUAUGAAGCAACAAAGAAGGUAAUGUGAAAAGUCAUUUAUUAGACUUAUGUUACCUAUUGUUCUUUUCUUUCCUCAGAAAUUUCUGAAGAAAAUAUUUUGGAAAGAAAAUAAAUCUCUUUCCUGCCAAUGCAUUUUCACUGUACACAGCUACACAUGCAUAAGAAGAACACUGCCUGGGGUUGAAAACACCUGCUUAUAAUAGGUCUCCCUGCAACUGUGUUCUAAACAUGUAGUUAAACAAACAUGCUAAGCAAAUCUUGUCAUGAAGAAUUCUGAAAAAAUAAAACUUUAACUUAAAAUAUGUGCAGAUUUGUAAUUUUCCAGGGGGACUUGUCUCAUUUUAAGAUGUUU
Peromyscus maniculatus bairdii (prairie deer mouse) is the source of this 815-nucleotide non-coding RNA. The record is from RefSeq and is a predicted model, not a curated record. NCBI's taxonomy places the organism in Eukaryota, Metazoa, Chordata, Mammalia, Rodentia, Cricetidae.